RNAcentral lists this ribosomal RNA (360 nucleotides) under uncultured bacterium. Its description in RNAcentral is "partial 16S ribosomal RNA". It matches the Rfam family "Bacterial small subunit ribosomal RNA", at positions 338 to 696 of the family's 1533-position model. The record is from RNAcentral.
CCUACGGGUGGCAGCAGUGAGGAAUAUUGGUCAAUGGUCGGGACACUGAAGCAGCCAAGCCGCGUGAGUGAUGAAGGUACAGGGUAUCGUAAACCUCUUUUGUCAGGGAACAAAGGAGGGGACGUGUCCCCGGAUGAGUGUACCUGAAGAAACAGCAUCGGCUAACACCGUGCCAGCAGCCGCGGUAAUCCGGAGGAGGCGAGCGUUAUCCGGAUUUAUUGGGUUAAAAGGGUGCGCAGGCGGUCUGUUAAGUCAGCGGUCAAAGCCCGGGGCUCAACCCCGGCCCGCCGUUGAAACUGGCAGUCUCGAGUUGGAGAGAGGUAUGCGGAAUGCGCGGUGUAGCGGUGAAAUGCGUAGAUA